Molecule: non-coding RNA, 39 nt
Filed under: Alexandrium minutum
Lineage: Eukaryota; Dinophyceae; Gonyaulacales; Pyrocystaceae
Source: RNAcentral
UUUUUUUUUUUUUUUUUUUUUUUUUUUUUUUUUUUGACC